RNAcentral lists this unclassified non-coding RNA (1503 nucleotides) under Octopus sinensis (East Asian common octopus). Its description in RNAcentral is "protein phosphatase 1 regulatory subunit 42-like, transcript variant X2". Lineage: Eukaryota; Metazoa; Mollusca; Cephalopoda; Octopoda; Octopodidae. The record is from RNAcentral.
AUGCGCCCCACCUCAGCUAACAUGAUGCCGCCUGUAUCAACUGUCAGCUGCUCCCCUAGCAACGAAAUGUAAACAAUGUAAGAUCCGGAACAGAAAAAAAACUACGAACUUGGCCUCGCUUCUUUUUUUGUGUCUUACAGAUACUUGCAAGCAGUUUGAGAAACACAUGUAAACACACACAUAGGCAUUCACAUGAACACAUACUGCUUGCUCCAAAAACCCCUAUAUGCUCUCAAAAACACACUGGUACACAUUCGCUUACACUUACACACGCUCCUAAAGUUUUACUCUCCCUCUCUCUCUCUCUUUCACUCUCACGCACACAUAUAUAAACAUACUCAUAUACAGAGACGCGCUUACUCUUACAUCUCUAUAUAUGAUCCUCCAAGUACCACCCACAUAAUACAGACACACACAAACACACAUGCACACACACACUCAUGAAUGCUGCCCCUGAUCCCAAAAUGGUAAAGCCCAAAGUAAACCUCAUUACAAGCGGAACUUCGAAAUAUUCCAAGAAGAAGCGAGAUGAGUCUGUGUACCAUUACUUGAAACGAUUGUCACACCUGCACCUCGAAGGCAAGAAUUUGACUGAAAUUGACUGUGACUUUUCUGUGUGUCCCCAAUUAUCAGUAUUGUAUCUGUAUGACAACCAUUUAACAGCAAUCCCAGACUUAUCCAGAAACAGGAACCUAUCACACCUCUACCUCCAAGACAAUCAGAUCCGGCAUAUUCCAGACCUCUCCAGUCUAAUACAACUAACAAAACUGUAUCUCAGUAAUAACUGCAUUGCAGUGAUUGAGGGUCUCAAAAACCUUCAUCAUCUCAAUGAACUUUACAUCGACAGACAGCAGCUGCCCCCUGGAGAGAAGCUCCUACUUGAUCCAAGAUCCAUCAGAGCUAUUGCUGUCUGCCUGCAAGUCCUCAACAUCUCCGGCAACAGACUGACCAGUCUCAAUGAGCUUCACCCUCUGCACCAGUUGACCUGCCUUUACGCGUCAGACAACAAGGUUUCGCAGUUCAGCGACGUCGCAGGUGCACUGAUGAACAUGGAGAAGUUGGCGACACUCGAGCUGCACGGCAACCCAAUGUGCCGCAACAAAAGGUACCGAGACAAGCUCAUCAUCAUGGUAAAGAGCUUAGAAAACCUUGAUGGCAAAGAUAUUAGUGUCACCUCCAAGACAUUCAUACAUAACUGGUCUGCUAGCAGGACUGCCUUAAGACCAAGAAGAGAGCCUACACGAGUUCUAAACCCAUACAAAGGUGACCCAGUGGAUGAUACCAAUUUCACCACUUUCCCACGAGAUUCCAAAGUCUCUGGCUACAUGAUGCCUGGUAACUUUGACACUGUUAAUUAUUAAUGGACAUAUUGACAUAAUUAUUAUUAUUAUUACUAUUGAUCACCAUAGUUGACCACACUGUCUGACCUCUACACAUAUUCUGUCGGACAUAUGCACUAACAUUUACAUAAUAAUAAUAAUAAUAAUAAUAAUAAUAAUAAUA